UGGGGUGUUUUGCCAGGCAGAAGCGUGGAAAGCAGCCCGCCUUGCCCCCUCUGCUACUGCCAUGGUGCGGAAUCUGCUGUUGGGCACCUUUGAUUUGGAGACUUUGCUGAAAAGCAACCUGAAUGGUGGGAAGCCAACCAGAGGGGAUGGGGAGCAGCUGGUCGCACUUGACCAAAUUAAAAAGGCAGCCAUUAUUGCCACAUUGCUGGGGUAUUGCGCUGUAAGAUGCUACAUUGAAGAAGUGGCCGGCAGCCAGCCGAGGGCAGAUAGGCACAUCUAU
Long non-coding RNA from Esox lucius (northern pike), 280 nucleotides. RefSeq lists it as uncharacterized. The transcript has 4 exons. The record is from RefSeq and is a predicted model, not a curated record. Lineage: Eukaryota; Metazoa; Chordata; Actinopteri; Esociformes; Esocidae.